GGGUGCGCUCUAUGCAUGCAGUCGACGGUACUCUGAUUUCGGUUGGAGUGCAGUGGCGAACGGCUGAGUAAUACGAAGGUAACCUACCCCCCAGUGGGGAAUAUCUCCGAGAAAUCGGAGCCAAUACCGCAUGUCGUCCUCACACGCGAGUGUGAUGAUGAAAGCCUUCGGGCGCUGGAGGAUGGGCCUUUGUCCCAUCAGGCAGUUGGCAGGGUAACGGCCUACCAAACCUAAGACGGGUAGCUGGUCUGAGAGGAUGGUCAGCCAGACGGGGACUGAGAGACGGCCCCGACUCCUACGGGAGGCAGCAGCAAGGGAUAUUGCGCAAUGGACGAAAGUCUGACGCAGCGACGCCGCGUGAGGGAUGAAGGCCUUCGGGUCGUAAACCUCUUUUAUUGGUGAAGAGUAAGGACGGUAACCAAUGAAUAAGCCUCGGCUAACUACGUGCCAGCAGCCGCGGUAAUACGUAGGAGGCGAGCGUUAUCCGGAUUUACUGGGCGUAAAGCGCGUGUAGGCGGCUUUCUAAGUUGGCAGUGAAAGGUCCCGGCUCAACUGGGAUUUGCCUGUCAAUACUGGAGAGCUUGAGGGCACCAGAGGAAAGUGGAACUCGCGGUGUAGCGGUGAAAUGUGUAGAUAUCGCGAGGAACACCAGUGGCGAAGGCGGCUUUCUGGUGUGUUCCUGACGCUGAGGCGCGAAAGCGUGGGGAGCGAAGCGGAUUAGAUACCCGCGUAGUCCACGCCCUAAACGGUGGAUACUUGGUAUGGGGGGGUAUCGACCCCCUCCGUGCCGAAGCUAACGCUUUAAGUAUCCCGCCUGGGAACUACGGUCGCAAGACUAAAACUCAAAGGAAUUGACGG
This 858-nucleotide ribosomal RNA is filed under the name uncultured Chloroflexota bacterium. RNAcentral describes it as "bacterial SSU rRNA". It matches the Rfam family "Bacterial small subunit ribosomal RNA", at positions 40 to 916 of the family's 1533-position model. Lineage: Bacteria; Bacillati; Chloroflexota. The record is from RNAcentral.